RNAcentral lists this unclassified non-coding RNA (202 nucleotides) under uncultured Ascobolus. RNAcentral describes it as "partial contains 5.8S ribosomal RNA, internal transcribed spacer 2, and large subunit ribosomal RNA". The stretch from base 1 to 52 matches the Rfam family "5.8S ribosomal RNA", at positions 103 to 154 of the family's 154-position model. The record is from RNAcentral. Lineage: Eukaryota; Fungi; Ascomycota; Pezizomycetes; Pezizales; Ascobolaceae.
AACGCACAUUGCGCCCUUUGGUAUUCCAAGGGGCAUGCCUGUCUGAGCGUCAGUGAACUUCACAGGGUUGUUUUAUUGCAGCUCGGUGAUUUGAGUGUGACUAGUCUCACUUGAAAAGCAUCACGAUUGGUGUCAUAGGUUCGCCUCACCAAGAAUAUAACGUCUUGACCUCAGAUCAGGUAGGGUUACCCGCUGUACUUAA